GACGAACGCUGGCGGCGUGCUUAACACAUGCAAGUCGAACGGAAAGGCCCUGCUUUUGUGGGGUGCUCGAGUGGCGAACGGGUGAGUAACACGUGAGUAACCUGCCCUUGACUUUGGGAUAACUUCAGGAAACUGGGGCUAAUACCGGAUAGGAGCUCCUGCUGCAUGGUGGGGGUUGGAAAGUUUCGGCGGUUGGGGAUGGACUCGCGGCUUAUCAGCUUGUUGGUGGGGUAGUGGCUUACCAAGGCUUUGACGGGUAGCCGGCCUGAGAGGGUGACCGGCCACAUUGGGACUGAGAUACGGCCCAGACUCCUACGGGAGGCAGCAGUGGGGAAUAUUGCACAAUGGGCGGAAGCCUGAUGCAGCAACGCCGCGUGCGGGAUGACGGCCUUCGGGUUGUAAACCGCUUUCGCCUGUGACGAAGCGUGAGUGACGGUAAUGGGUAAAGAAGCACCGGCUAACUACGUGCCAGCAGCCGCGGUGAUACGUAGGGUGCGAGCGUUGUCCGGAUUUAUUGGGCGUAAAGGGCUCGUAGGUGGUUGAUCGCGUCGGAAGUGUAAUCUUGGGGCUUAACCCUGAGCGUGCUUUCGAUACGGGUUGACUUGAGGAAGGUAGGGGAGAAUGGAAUUCCUGGUGGAGCGGUGGAAUGCGCAGAUAUCAGGAGGAACACCAGUGGCGAAGGCGGUUCUCUGGGCCUUUCCUGACGCUGAGGAGCGAAAGCGUGGGGAGCGAACAGGCUUAGAUACCCUGGUAGUCCACGCUGUAAACGGUGGGUACUAGGUGUGGGGUCCAUUCCACGGGUUCCGUGCCGUAGCUAACGCUUUAAGUACCCCGCCUGGGGAGUACGGCCGCAAGGCUAAAACUCAAAGGAAUUGACGGGGCCCCGCACAAGCGGCGGAGCAUGCGGAUUAAUUCGAUGCAACGCGUAGAACCUUACCUGGGUUUGACAUGGAUCGGGAGUGCUCAGAGAUGGGUGUGCCUCUUUUGGGGUCGGUUCACAGGUGGUGCAUGCCUGUCGUCAGCUCGUGUCGUGAGAUGUUGGGUUAAGUCCCGCAACGAGCGCAACCCUUGUUCACUGUUGCCAGCACGUUAUGGUGGGGACUCAGUGGAGACCGCCGGGGUCAACUCGGAGGAAGGUGGGGAUGACGUCAAGUCAUCAUGCCCCUUAUGUCCAGGGCUUCACGCAUGCUACAAUGGCCGGUACAGAGAGUGGCGAGCCUGUGAGGGUGAGCGAAUCUCGGAAAGCCGGUCUCAGUUCGGAUUGGGGUCUGCAACUCGACCUCAUGAAGUCGGAGUCGCUAGUAAUCGCAGAUCAGCAACGCUGCGGUGAAUACGUUCCCGGG
Molecule: ribosomal RNA, 1343 nt
Filed under: uncultured bacterium
Lineage: Bacteria
Description: 16S ribosomal RNA
Rfam family: Bacterial small subunit ribosomal RNA
Source: RNAcentral